AGCCUUCUGUAUCAGUGCUGAGGUUUCGUCACACGCCAGACCACAAAAGCUGAUGAAACUCAUAAGAUCAGUGAAGCG
Molecule: microRNA precursor, 78 nt
Filed under: Schistosoma mattheei
Lineage: Eukaryota; Metazoa; Platyhelminthes; Trematoda; Strigeidida; Schistosomatidae
Description: mir-3492 microRNA precursor family
Rfam family: mir-3492 microRNA precursor family
Source: Rfam by way of RNAcentral